UACGUAGGUGGCAAGCGUUACUCGGAAUCACUAGGCGUAAAGCGCACGUAGGCGGUUUGAUAAGUCUGUUGUGAAAGCUCCCGGCUUAACUGGGAGAGGUCAACGGAAACUAUCAGGCUAGAGUGUGGUAGAGGUAGCUGGAAUUCCCGGUGUAGCGGUGAAAUGCGUAGAUAUCGGGAGGAAUACCUAUGGCGAAAGCAGGCUACUGGACCAUCACUGACGCUGAUCUGCGAAAGCUAGGGGAGCAAACGGG
This 253-nucleotide ribosomal RNA is filed under the name uncultured bacterium. RNAcentral describes it as "partial 16S ribosomal RNA". It matches the Rfam family "Bacterial small subunit ribosomal RNA", at positions 524 to 776 of the family's 1533-position model. The record is from RNAcentral.